Gossypium arboreum is the source of this 106-nucleotide non-coding RNA. NCBI's taxonomy places the organism in Eukaryota, Viridiplantae, Streptophyta, Magnoliopsida, Malvales, Malvaceae. The record is from Rfam.
AACCUAUGGUGAGGGCAUCUUCACAAUAACUCCUUAUACCUCUCUCAUGCAUCAUAUAGGGUCUCUAAGUCCAUCUGCUCGAAGGAGAGAUAUCAUUCCUCAACUU